ACUCAAAUGAAUUGACGGGGGCCCGCACAAGCGGUGGAGCAUGUGGUUUAAUUCGAAGCAACGCGAAGAACCUUACCCAGGCUUGACAUCCCGGGAACCCGGCGGAAACGUCGGGGUGCCCCCUCACGGGGGAGCCCGGAGACAGGUGCUGCAUGGCUGUCGUCAGCUCGUGCUGUGAGGUGUUCGGUUAAGUCCGGCAACGAGCGCAACCCCUGCCGUUAGUUACCAGCAUUCAGUUGGGGACUCUAGCGGGACUGCCGGUGACAAACCGGAGGAAGGUGGGGAUGACGUCAAGUCCUCAUGGCCCUCAUGUCUGGGGCUACACACGUGCUACAAUGGCGCCUACAGAGGGCUGCGAAGUCGCGAGGCGGAGCAAAUCCCAAAAAAGGCGUCUCAGUUCGGAUUGGAGUCUGCAACUCGACUCCAUGAAGCUGGAAUCGCUAGUAAUCGCGGAUCAGCACGCCGCGGUGAAUACGUUCCCGGGCCUUGUACACACCGCCCGU
This 503-nucleotide ribosomal RNA is filed under the name uncultured bacterium. RNAcentral describes it as "partial 16S ribosomal RNA". It matches the Rfam family "Bacterial small subunit ribosomal RNA", at positions 899 to 1397 of the family's 1533-position model. The record is from RNAcentral.